GCCUGGUUGGCCGAGUUUUUAAGGCACUAUGGGGCGGAGUAACACUCACAAGUGGAACCCAUAAGCGUGUACCCUCCUUAGCCGCGUUAGUCCGUACUCCAGAGACCCUGGUUCGAAUCUAGGACCAGGCA
Molecule: transfer RNA, 131 nt
Filed under: Penicillium salamii
Lineage: Eukaryota; Fungi; Ascomycota; Eurotiomycetes; Eurotiales; Aspergillaceae
Description: tRNA-Undet
Source: RNAcentral